AUGUGUGAGGGCAUCAGUCACUCUCAUGCCGGCAUGCCGCACUUUCAGCUAGCAGGUGAAAGAGACCCUCUUAUGGGAAUAAUGGAGUACAGAAAUGAUAGUGAGUUCAAAGUAAGGCUGAGAGGGAGUAAUGGGCGAGGAGAUGAACCUAGGAGAGCAAAAUUGAGAACUCCAGCUAAAGCAGCUCCUGCCCAGCGGCGAGGACUUCAGCGGCAGCAGCACCUGUGCAUGGGGAGGAACAGCCCCUGGGCGCGUAGGCAGCAGCUCGCCUCCACUAGCGGGCGGCAGCAGAGCACCAGCUCGCCUCCACCAGCGGCCGGCAGUAGAUCAGCACCUCGUCUCCACCAGCGGGCGGCAGCAGAGCACCACCUGGGCGCGCGGGGGCCGGGAGGAGCCCCUGGCGUGGGAGAGGAGCGCGGGGGUGGAGGGCAGGUGGCGGAGCCGCGGAGGCGGAGGUGGAGUGCCGGGACGGAGGUGGAGGGCGGGUGGCAGAACCGCGGAGGCGGAGGUGGAGUGCCGGGGCGGAGGCGGAGGUGGAAGACGCUGAGGAAGAUGACGGACAGAUUCAAAGUUUGA
Molecule: ribosomal RNA, 576 nt
Filed under: Triticum aestivum (bread wheat)
Lineage: Eukaryota; Viridiplantae; Streptophyta; Magnoliopsida; Poales; Poaceae
Description: partial small subunit ribosomal RNA
Source: RNAcentral